CACACACACACACACUCUCUGCAUUAUAUACACACACACUGCAUUAUAUACACACACACUGCAUUCAUACACACACACACUCUGCAUUAUACACAUACACACACACACUCUCUGCAUUAUAUACACACACACACUGCAUUCAUUCUAUACACACACUGUAAAUAAAUAUUCAAUUAAUAUAAUUUUUUUGGGAUCUAAUUUUAUUUAGAAAUUUACCAGUAGCUGCUGAAUUUCCCAC
This is a non-coding RNA of Pelobates cultripes (western spadefoot toad), 238 nucleotides long. NCBI's taxonomy places the organism in Eukaryota, Metazoa, Chordata, Amphibia, Anura, Pelobatidae. The record is from the annotation of a GenBank genome assembly.